Molecule: unclassified non-coding RNA, 240 nt
Filed under: soil metagenome
Description: partial contains 5.8S ribosomal RNA, internal transcribed spacer 2, and large subunit ribosomal RNA
Source: RNAcentral
AACCAUAGAAACCUGCGGAGUACCUGCGGAAGGAUCAUUACCGAGUUUACAAACUCCCAAACCCUUUGUGAACCUUACCUAUCGUUGCUUCGGCGGGAUCGCCCCGGGCCGGCCCUUCACGGGGCCUCCGGAACCAGGCGCCCGCCGGAGAACCCAAACUCUUUGUUUUUAUGGUUUUCUCCUCUGAGUGGAUUAUAAACAAAUAAAUCAAAACUUUUAACAACGGAUCUCAGAUCGGAA